AGAAAUCGUUAAGGGCGUAUGGCGGAUGCCUAGGCUUUCAGAGGCGACGAAGGACGUGGUAAGCUGCGAAAAGCUGCGGGGAUUGGCACACACGAAUUGAUCCGCAGAUGUCCGAAUGGGGCAACCCGGCAUGUUGAAGACAUGUCACUCCGCAAGGAGAGCAAACCAGGAGAACUGAAACAUCUAAGUACCCUGAGGAAAAGAAAUCGAAGAGAUUCCGUAAGUAGUGGCGAGCGAACGCGGAUUAGCCCAAAAGUCUUUAUAUAUUUAAUAGAAUGUUCUGGAAAGAACAGCCAUAGAGGGUGAUAGCCCCGUAUAUGAAAGGUAUAUUAAGAUGAUAAAUGAGUAGGGCGGGACACGUGAAAUCCUGUCUGAAUAUGGGGGGACCAUCCUCCAAGGCUAAAUACUCCUGAAAGACCGAUAGUGAACAAGUACUGUGAAGGAAAGGUGAAAAGCACUUCGAAUAGAAGGGUGAAAUAGAACCUGAAACCGUACGCCUACAAGCGGUCGGAGCCCACAAGUUGGGUGACGGCGUGCCUUUUGCAUAAUGAGCCUACGAGUUAAUGUUACUAGCGAGGUUAAGGACUUCAGGUCCGGAGCCGGAGCGAAAGCGAGUCUGAAUAGGGCGCUUAGUUAGUAGUAUUAGACGCGAAACCUUGUGAUCUACCCAUGGGCAGGUUGAAGCUUUGGUAACACAAAGUGGAGGACCGAACCGGUUGACGUUGAAAAGUCUUCGGAUGACCUGUGGGUAGGGGUGAAAGGCCAAUCAAACUGGGAGAUAGCUCGUACUCCCCGAAAUGCAUUUAGGUGCAGCGUCGUGUAUAAGUUUAUUAGAGGUAGAGCUACUGAUUGGAUGCGGGGGAGUCAAAUCCUACCAAUUCCUGACAAACUCCGAAUGCUAAUAAAUGUUCCACGGCAGUGAGGGCGCGGGUGCUAAGGUCCGUGUCCGAGAGGGAAAGAACCCAGACCAACAGCUAAGGUCCCCAAAUAUAUGUUAAGUUGAAGCAACGCGGUUGGACUGCAUUGACAGCUAGGAUGUUGGCUUGGAAGCAGCCAUUCAUUUAAAGAGUGCGUAACAGCUCACUAGUCGAGCGGUCCGGCAUGGAUAAUAAUCGGGCAUAAACAUAUUACCGAAGCUAUGGAUUUACA
Molecule: ribosomal RNA, 1149 nt
Filed under: Chryseobacterium piscium
Lineage: Bacteria; Pseudomonadati; Bacteroidota; Flavobacteriia; Flavobacteriales; Weeksellaceae
Description: bacterial LSU rRNA
Rfam family: Bacterial large subunit ribosomal RNA
Source: RNAcentral